Small nuclear RNA from Crocodylus porosus (Australian saltwater crocodile), 135 nucleotides. Its record names the gene U2. It matches the Rfam family "U2 spliceosomal RNA". Rfam says of the family: U2 is a small nuclear RNA (snRNA) component of the spliceosome (involved in pre-mRNA splicing). Complementary binding between U2 snRNA (in an area lying towards the 5' end but 3' to hairpin I) and the branchpoint sequence (BPS) of the intron results the bulging out of an unpaired adenosine, on the BPS, which initiates a nucleophilic attack at the intronic 5' splice site, thus starting the first of two transesterification reactions that mediate splicing. The record is from Ensembl. Lineage: Eukaryota; Metazoa; Chordata; Crocodylia; Crocodylidae.
GUACUUGUCUCUGAUAUGUCCUCCAUAGGAGGUCUAUAUUGAGCAGAUUCUUUUUGGUAUUGGGUGGUGGAACCGGAGCGUGCUCCAUCCACUCCAUGCAUUGACCUGGUAUUGCAGUGCUUCCAGGACCGGUGC